AUUGAACGCUGGCGGCAUGCCUUACACAUGCAAGUCGAACGGUAACAGGUCUUCGGAUGCUGACGAGUGGCGAACGGGUGAGUAAUACAUCGGAACGUGCCCAAUCGUGGGGGAUAACGCAGCGAAAGCUGUGCUAAUACCGCAUAAGAUCUACGGAUGAAAGCGGGGGAUCGCAAGACCUCGCGCGAAUGGAGCGGCCGAUGGCAGAUUAGGUAGUUGGCGGGGUAAAAGCCCACCAAGCCGACGAUCCGUAGCUGGUCUGAGAGGACGACCAGCCACACUGGGACUGAGACACGGCCCAGACUCCUACGGGAGGCAGCAGUGGGGAAUUUUGGACAAUGGGCGCAAGCCUGAUCCAGCAAUGCCGCGUGCAGGAUGAAGGCCUUCGGGUUGUAAACUGCUUUUGUACGGAACGAAAAGGUUUGGCCUAAUAAGCUGAGCUCAUGACGGUACCGUAAGAAUAAGCACCGGCUAACUACGUGCCAGCAGCCGCAGUAA
RNAcentral lists this ribosomal RNA (498 nucleotides) under uncultured bacterium. Its description in RNAcentral is "partial 16S ribosomal RNA". It matches the Rfam family "Bacterial small subunit ribosomal RNA", at positions 30 to 523 of the family's 1533-position model. The record is from RNAcentral.